GAUGAACGCUAGCGGCAGGCUUAACACAUGCAAGUCGAGGGGCAGCACAGUGUAGCAAUACACGGGUGGCGACCGGCGCACGGGUGCGUAACGCGUAUCCAACCUUCCCGUUACUCAGGGAUAGCCUUCCGAAGGGGAGAUUAAUACCUGAUGGUGUUCAAAUUCCGCAUGUUAUUUGAACUAAAGAUUUAUCGGUAACGGAUGGGGAUGCGUGACAUUAGAUAGUAGGCGGGGUAACGGCUCACCUAGUCUACGAUGUCUAGGGGUUCUGAGAGGAAGGUCCCCCACACUGGAACUGAGACACGGUCCAGACUCCUACGGGAGGCAGCAGUGAGGAAUAUUGGUCAAUGGUCUGACGACUGAACCAGCCAUGCCGCGUGAAGGUCACGGCCCUAUGGGUCUUAAACUGCUUUUGUAUGGGAGCAAUAAGUUCUACGUGUAGAGCGAUGAGAGUACCAUACGAAUAAGCAUCGGCUAACUCCGUGCCAGCAG
This 492-nucleotide ribosomal RNA is filed under the name uncultured bacterium. RNAcentral describes it as "bacterial SSU rRNA". It matches the Rfam family "Bacterial small subunit ribosomal RNA", at positions 28 to 514 of the family's 1533-position model. The record is from RNAcentral.